Molecule: ribosomal RNA, 460 nt
Filed under: uncultured bacterium
Lineage: Bacteria
Description: partial 16S ribosomal RNA
Rfam family: Bacterial small subunit ribosomal RNA
Source: RNAcentral
CCUACGGGAGACAGCAGUGAGGAAUAUUGGUCAAUGGGCGUAAGCCUGAACCAGCCAAGCCGCGUGAGGGAUGAAGGUUCUAUGGUUCGUAAACCUCUUUUAUAAGGGAAUAAAAUGUGGGACGUGUCCUAUUUUGCAUGUACCUUAUGAAUAAGGAUCGGCUAACUCCGUGCCAGCAGCCGCGGUAAUACGGAGGAUCCGAGCGUUAUCCGGAUUUAUUGGGUUUAAAGGGUGCGUAGGCGGCCUUUUAAGUCAGCGGUGAAAGUCUGUGGCUCAACCAUAGAAUGGCCUUUGAAACUGGGGGGCUUGAGUAUGGUUGAGGCAGGCGGAAUGCGUGGUGUAGCGGUGAAAUGCGUAGAUAUCACGCAGAACCCCGAUUGCGAAGGCAGCCUGCCAAGCCAUGACUGACGCUGAGGCACGAAAGCGUGGGGAUCAAACAGGAUUAGAUACCCCAGUAGUC